CCUACGGGUGGCAGCAGUAGGGAAUCUUCCACAAUGGGCGGAAGCCUGAUGGAGCAACGCCGCGGGGGUGAAGAAGGUCUUCGGAUCGUAAAACCCUGUUGUUCGAGAAGAAAGUGCUUGAGAGUAACUGUUCACGUUUCGACGGUAUCUAACCAGAAAGCAACGGCUAACUACGUGCCAGCAGCCGCGGUAAUACGUAGGGGGCAAGCGGUAUCCGGAUUUAUUGGGCGUAAAGGGAACGCAGACGGUCAUUUAGUUCGGAUGUGAAAGCCUUCGGCUUAACCGGAGUAGUGCUUUGGUAACUAGGAAACUUGAGUGCAGAAGAGGAGAGUGGAACUCCAUGGGUAGCGGUGAAAUGCGUAGAUAUAUGGAAGAACACCAGUGGCGAAAGCGGCUCUCUGGUCUGUAACUGACGCUGAGGUUCGAAAGCGUGGGUAGCAAACAGGAUUAGAUACCCGUGUAGUC
Molecule: ribosomal RNA, 465 nt
Filed under: uncultured bacterium
Lineage: Bacteria
Description: partial 16S ribosomal RNA
Rfam family: Bacterial small subunit ribosomal RNA
Source: RNAcentral